GACGAACGCUGGCGGCGUGCCUAAUACAUGCAAGUAGAUCGCUGAAGAGAGGAGCUUGCUCUUCUUGGAUGAGUUGCGAACGGGUGAGUAACGCGUAGGUAACCUGCCUGGUAGCGGGGGAUAACUAUUGGAAACGAUAGCUAAUACCGCAUAAAAUGGAUUAUCGCAUGAUAAUCCAUUGAAAGGUGCAAAUGCAUCACUACCAGAUGGACCUGCGUUGUAUUAGCUAGUUGGUGGGGUAACGGCUCACCAAGGCGACGAUACAUAGCCGACCUGAGAGGGUGAUCGGCCACACUGGGACUGAGACACGGCCCAGACUCCUACGGGAGGCAGCAGUAGGGAAUCUUCGGCAAUGGACGGAAGUCUGACCGAGCAACGCCGCGUGAGUGAAGAAGGUUUUCGGAUCGUAAAGCUCUGUUGUAAGAGAAGAACGAGUGUGAGAGUGGAAAGUUCACACUGUGACGGUAUCUUACCAGAAAGGGACGGCUAACUACGUG
Molecule: ribosomal RNA, 497 nt
Filed under: uncultured bacterium
Lineage: Bacteria
Description: partial 16S ribosomal RNA
Rfam family: Bacterial small subunit ribosomal RNA
Source: RNAcentral